Molecule: ribosomal RNA, 509 nt
Filed under: uncultured bacterium
Lineage: Bacteria
Description: bacterial SSU rRNA
Rfam family: Bacterial small subunit ribosomal RNA
Source: RNAcentral
AAUGAACGCUGGCGGCGUGCUUUACACAUGCAAGUCGAGCGAGGCGUCCCGCAAGGGACAGUCGAGCGGCGAACGGGUGAGUAACGCGUGGAUGACCUGCCCUUCGGUGAGGAAUAACCCGGGGAAACUCGGGCUAAUACCGCAUCCGACCGAGAGGUGAGAGCGGGGUCGCAAGAUCUCGUGCCGAAGGAGGGGUCCGCGUCCGAUUAGCUAGUUGGUAGGGUAAUGGCCUACCAAGGCAACGAUCGGUAGCCGGCCUGAGAGGGUGAUCGGCCACACUGGAACUGAGACACGGUCCAGACUCCUACGGGAGGCAGCAGUGGGGAAUUUUGCGCAAUGGGCGAAAGCCUGACGCAGUAACGCCGCGUGGAGGAUGAAGGUCUUUGGAUUGUAAACUCCUGUCAGCGGGGAAAAAGCGAGGCGACCUCAGACGUCGUCGAGUUGAUUGUACCCGCAGAGGAAGCCCCGGCUAACUCUGUGCCAGCAGCCGCGGUAAUACAGAGGGGGCG